AGUUACGGCGCAAUCAGGAGGAAGUGACGUCAUGAGCGACGCCGAUCUCCACCCGAGCGCACAGCCAACCGAGCCCAGAGUGACUGAAGGAACCUCACAAAAAGCGGCUUGUCCAGGAAAGCGAGAGCGACCUGUUACAGGAGUGCGCAGGGGCCCGAACCAAAUCAAAGACAGGAGGAGGAGGCAUCACAGGAAGAUGCUGGGAGAGAAGGGAGAAGAGCGGAAGAGCAAAGCACUGCAAAUUUACACCAGACUGCGAGACGGAAACAAGCCGACUGAGCCCAGCAAGCCGAGAAGCUGUUCCAGGUUUGAGGACUGUGGACAGUGAUGGUGAUGGCUAUCUAUCGUGCUUUCAAGUACUGCUGGCUCUAAAGGAGAUCAUUCCUCCAGAACUGCUGACUGAAGAGGAGGAAAUCUAUGUGUACAGGAUUCUAGAGCUGGUUGAUUUCAGCGUGACUGAGGGUCUGACGGAUUUGCGUCUCUUCGCCGUCGUUGCCAGUCUGGCACAGAAGAUAGCCACACUAGAUGAUUUCAUGCGGUCUCUCAUUAGCAAGAUGGACUUCAAGUCUUUGGAGAUGAAGCUGUACAAAGCAAAGCAGUUGUUCCUGUUCCUGCUGGAGGGCCAGUCUGAGGGCAGCGAGGCACCACAGGGUCGUAUCAGUGCUGAACAACUGCUUGUGGAGCUGAAGGCAGGGGGGAUCCGUGAGGAGCAGGAGGAAGAGGUCAGGCGUGAACUCCGUAGCCUUCGCUCCCUCGACCUGCUUGACUUCCUCGCACACCUACCCCUCUUCAUCCUCAUCCACAACUCCGUCAUUGCCAACCCGCUGGAUGACUCUAGCAACCUGUGACAGAAACACCAAAGCUGUGUUAUGUUUUAAAGGCAGCAUCCAUAUCGCAUGCAAGCCAUACUGUCAGGAUGCCCUGUCACAGCUUCUAGUGCACCUUACUCACGAUAUUCGUUUAUUCACUACCGCUUAUCAGCUUCGAUCAGCAAUAAAACUGAACAUGAAUACAAUUUUCUGUGUGAAAAAAAAAAAUGCUUCGUUUAAGAAAUGUCACGGUACACCAAUGGAGCAGGUCGUUUCAUUUUGCCGUUCAUCGAGAUGAACUUUGACCUGCAAAUGAUGCGCCUAAGGUGGUCUGUUCAGUCUGUAAAACUCAAAUAAAGGAGUUAUUAGAAGUCAUAC
Molecule: long non-coding RNA, 1187 nt
Organism: Ictalurus punctatus (channel catfish)
Lineage: Eukaryota; Metazoa; Chordata; Actinopteri; Siluriformes; Ictaluridae
Source: Ensembl